GACCCCGCACAAGCGGUGGAGCAUGUGGUUUAAUUCGAUGCAACGCGAAGAACCUUACCAGGGUUUGACAUCCUGCGAAUCUCUUGGGAAACGAGAGAGUGCCUUCGGGAACGCAGUGACAGGUGGUGCAUGGCUGUCGUCAGCUCGUGUCGUGAGAUGUUGGUUAAGUCCCGCAACGAGCGCAACCCUCACUUUUAGUUGCCACCAUUUAGUUGGGCACUUUAAAAGAACUGCCAGUGAUAAGCUGGAGGAAGGUGGGGAUGACGUCAAGUCCUCAUGGCCCUUAUGUGUUGGGCUACACACGUGCUACAAUGGUACUUACAAUUGGGAAGCAAAGAGGCGACUCUUAGCUAA
RNAcentral lists this ribosomal RNA (354 nucleotides) under uncultured bacterium. RNAcentral describes it as "bacterial SSU rRNA". It matches the Rfam family "Bacterial small subunit ribosomal RNA", at positions 920 to 1271 of the family's 1533-position model. The record is from RNAcentral.